UUAAAGAUUUUUUUACUGAAUUGGGAUGCUUUGCCUGCAUUUAAAGUGGAUAUUGUUGAUUGAUAAGUGUUGACAGUUACUAGCGUUGUUGAUGUUUCAUAGUAUUUUUUUGGUAGCUCACAACCUCAUGUAGUGCUUGAGAAAACCUGAGAAUAUUGAGAAGCUUCGUGCUGCGAGUGCGAGGAGAUGAAAAAGUACUUCUCUCACUGCAAGGUACGAUCAUCAGUUAGUGUCUACAAUCUUCUUUCUCGGAAAAUAGGGGAUUUAUAUCAGCGUGCCAUCACUGCAAGGAAUCAACACCGUCUCAAGGGCGGCAACAGCGGAUACAGAACAACUGAUGCGGCCUGAAGUGGACCUCAUUCAACCUUAAUUCCAGGAUAACUUUUCUUUUUGUUGCUCAAUAAAAGGAAUAUCCCUCUUCAUAAAUCUAUUAUUUCGCUUUCCCAUGAAGCUGUAGUUCUCUCCAAAUAAUUUUGAGAUUACACUAAGCAGAAGCUGCUAAACAUGCCGUGGAAGCUGAUGCAAAAUCAAACAGUAAAGAGGAGGUUGCUUUGUGUUGCCAUUGUUGUAUGAAUAUAGUGCGACCUUCUGCUAUUGUAUGAAGAAAAGUAUGUGCAUAACUGCAUACUUGCAGGAAUAGAAGAUAGAUAAAUAUGACCUUGCGUACAGAUUGUUGUGUAGAUAAAACUGACCUUGCUUACAGAUUUUGUUGUAUGUAUUUUUUUGUAUAGUUGACCGAGAUAGAUAGAAUAUGGUAGAAUAAAGAGGUGCAGAUUGUUGUAUGGCCAUAUUGUACAUGGUGAUCAUUGUUGUAUUUAUUUUACAUAGAUAGAAUAAUGAUGUAGAUAUAGAGGGUUUUCGCAUAUGUACCAAUUUUCAUAGGAACUAUGAUUAUGUAUGACUGGUAUAUGGUGCACAAAUCAGUCAUAUACUCAUUUA
Triticum urartu is the source of this 939-nucleotide non-coding RNA. NCBI's taxonomy places the organism in Eukaryota, Viridiplantae, Streptophyta, Magnoliopsida, Poales, Poaceae. The record is from RefSeq and is a predicted model, not a curated record.